GUUGCUCACAACCGAUCCACACGCCUUGAGGGUGGCCGUUGCUCACGGCUGCCUGCGCGGAUGCCGUGUACACCCUUUGUUUGUGCCCCGCUUUUGAAUGUUUUUAAUGC
RNAcentral lists this ribosomal RNA (110 nucleotides) under Tylenchorhynchus mediterraneus. RNAcentral describes it as "partial 5.8S ribosomal RNA". Lineage: Eukaryota; Metazoa; Nematoda; Chromadorea; Rhabditida; Telotylenchidae. The record is from RNAcentral.